This 253-nucleotide ribosomal RNA is filed under the name uncultured bacterium. RNAcentral's name for it is "partial 16S ribosomal RNA". It matches the Rfam family "Bacterial small subunit ribosomal RNA", at positions 524 to 776 of the family's 1533-position model. The record is from RNAcentral.
GACAGAGGGUGCAAACGUUGUUCGGAAUUACUGGGCGUAAAGCGCGUGUAGGCGGCUUGGCAAGUCGGGUGUGAAAGCCCUGGGCUCAACCUAGGAAGUGCACUCGAAACUGCUUCGCUUGAGUGUCGGAGAGGAAAGUGGAAUUCUCGGUGUAGAGGUGAAAUUCGUAGAUAUCGAGAGGAACACCGGUGGCGAAGGCGGCUUUCUGGACGAUAACUGACGCUGAGACGCGAAAGCGUGGGGAGCAAACAGG